This 74-nucleotide transfer RNA is filed under the name Ictidomys tridecemlineatus (thirteen-lined ground squirrel). RNAcentral describes it as "Spermophilus tridecemlineatus (thirteen-lined ground squirrel) tRNA". It matches the Rfam family "tRNA". Rfam says of the family: Transfer RNA (tRNA) molecules are approximately 80 nucleotides in length. Their secondary structure includes four short double-helical elements and three loops (D, anti-codon, and T loops). The record is from Rfam by way of RNAcentral. Lineage: Eukaryota; Metazoa; Chordata; Mammalia; Rodentia; Sciuridae.
UGGGUUGUAGCUCAAUGGUAGAGUGCUUGCCUCGCACACGCAUGGGGCCCUGGGUUUGAUCCUCAGCACCACAU